Molecule: long non-coding RNA, 309 nt
Organism: Gambusia affinis (western mosquitofish)
Lineage: Eukaryota; Metazoa; Chordata; Actinopteri; Cyprinodontiformes; Poeciliidae
Exons: 3
Source: RefSeq, a predicted model, not a curated record
CUGAUUCUCAGGAGUACAAUGCGAUAUUCAGCAAACCCACCGCAGAGGAACUUGAUGGUUUUGUCCUAACACAAUCUAACUACGAUUUCAAGGAAAAUCUGAUCAUUAGCGAGGAUGGGAAAAGCAGCCGUCCCAGAAGUCGCUUGUCUCUGAGUAGAUCAAAAAAAGCUCGGGUUCUAAACCCCGCCGAUCAGACAAGCACACCAUCCAACGCUAAGCCUGAAGCUCCCAAUAGCAUAAGGUUAAACUCUGCAACGGUCCUUCCUUUUCCUGCCGCCGCGGGAGAAGAAGAACCAGACGCUGAUGCCG